UGUGUGUUGUUGGGUAGGGGAGCGUUCUGUAAGCCUGUGAAGGUGUGUCGUGAGGCAUGCUGGAGGUAUCAGAAGUGCGAAUGCUGACAUAAGUAACGAUAAAGCGGGUGAAAAGCCCGCUCGCCGGAAGACCAAGGGUUCCUGUCCAACGUUAAUCGGGGCAGGGUGAGUCGACCCCUAAGGCGAGGCCGAAAGGCGUAGUCGAUGGGAAACGGGUUAAUAUUCCCGUACUUGGUGUUACUGCGAAGGGGGGACGGAGAAGGCUAUGUUGGCCGGGCGACGGUUGUCCCGGUUUAAGCGUGUAGGUGUGUGUUCCAGGUAAAUCCGGUUCACUUUAACACUGAGGCGUGACGACGAGGCACUACGGUGCUGAAGCAACAAAUGCCCUGCUUCCAGGAAAAGCCUCUAAGCAUCAGGUAACAUCAAAUCGUACCCCAAACCGACACAGGUGGUCAGGUAGAGAAUACCAAGGCGCUUGAGAGAACUCGGGUGAAGGAACUAGGCAAAAUGGUGCCGUAACUUCGGGAGAAGGCACGCUGACACGUAGGUGAAGUGAUUUACUCAUGGAGCUGAAGUCAGUCGAAGAUACCAGCUGGCUGCAACUGUUUAUUAAAAACACAGCACUGUGCAAACACGAAAGUGGACGUAUACGGUGUGACGCCUGCCCGGUGCCGGAAGGUUAAUUGAUGGGGUCAGCGCAAGCGAAGCUCCUGAUCGAAGCCCCGGUAAACGGCGGCCGUAACUAUAACGGUCCUAAGGUAGCGAAAUUCCUUGUCGGGUAAGUUCCGACCUGCACGAAUGGCGUAAUGAUGGCCAGGCUGUCUCCACCCGAGACUCAGUGAAAUUGAACUCGCUGUGAAGAUGCAGUGUACCCGCGGCAAGACGGAAAGACCCCGUGAACCUUUACUAUAGCUUGACACUGAACAUUGAGCCUUGAUGUGUAGGAUAGGUGGGAGGCUUUGAAGUGUGGACGCCAGUCUGCAUGGAGCCGACCUUGAAAUACCACCCUUUAAUGUUUGAUGUUCUAACGUGGACCCGUUACCCGGGUUGCGGACAGUGUCUGGUGGGUAGUUUGACUGGGGCGGUCUCCUCCUAAAGAGUAACGGAGGAGCACGAAGGUUGGCUAAUCCUGGUCGGACAUCAGGAGGUUAGUGCAAUGGCAUAAGCCAGCUUGACUGCGAGCGUGACGGCGCGAGCAGGUGCGAAAGCAGGUCAUAGUGAUCCGGUGGUUCUGAAUGGAAGGGCCAUCGCUCAACGGAUAAAAGGUACUCCGGGGAUAACAGGCUGAUACCGCCCAAGAGUUCAUAUCGACGGCGGUGUUUGGCACCUCGAUGUCGGCUCAUCACAUCCUGGGGCUGAAGUAGGUCCCAAGGGUAUGGCUGUUCGCCAUUUAAAGUGGUACGCGAGCUGGGUUUAGAACGUCGUGAGACAGUUCGGUCCCUAUCUGCCGUGGGCGCUGGAGAACUGAGGGGGGCUGCUCCUAGUACGAGAGGACCGGAGUGGACGCAUCACUGGUGUUCGGGUUGUCAUGCCAAUGGCACUGCCCGGUAGCUAAAUGCGGAAGAGAUAAGUGCUGAAAGCAUCUAAGCACGAAACUUGCCCCGA
Molecule: ribosomal RNA, 1605 nt
Filed under: Salmonella enterica
Lineage: Bacteria; Pseudomonadati; Pseudomonadota; Gammaproteobacteria; Enterobacterales; Enterobacteriaceae
Description: partial 23S ribosomal RNA
Rfam family: Bacterial large subunit ribosomal RNA
Source: RNAcentral